UCGAACGAGAAAGUGGAGCAAUCCAUGAGUACAGUGGCGUACGGGUGAGUAACACGUGGGUAAUCUACCUCUUAGUGGGGAAUAACCGAGGGAAACCUUGGCUAAUACCGCAUAAGCCUGAGAAGGGAAAGCAGCAAUGCGCUGGGAGAGGAGCCCGCGGCCGAUUAGCUAGUUGGUGGGGUAAGAGCCCACCAAGGCAGAGAUCGGUAGCCGGCCUGAGAGGGCACACGGCCACACUGGCACUGAAACACGGGCCAGACUCCUACGGGAGGCAGCAGUGGGGAAUCUUGCACAAUGGGGGAAACCCUGAUGCAGCGACGCCGCGUGAGCGAUGAAGCCCUUCGGGGUGUAAAGCUCUUUCGUCAGGGACGAUAAUGACGGUACCUGGAGAAGCAGCUGCGGCUAACUACGUGCCAGCAGCCGCGGUAAUACGUAGGCAGCAAGCGUUGUUCGGAGUUACUGGGCGUAAAGGGUGUGUAGGCGGUUCUUUAAGUUUGGUGUGAAAUCUCCCGGCUCAACUGGGAGGGUGCGCCGAAUACUGAGGGACUAGAGUACGGGAGAGGAAAGUGGAAUUCCUGGUGUAGCGGUGAAAUGCGUAGAUAUCAGGAGGAACACCGGUGGUGUAGACGGCUUUCUGGACCGUAACUGACGCUGAGACACGAAAGCGUGGGUAGCAAACAGGAUUAGAUACCCUGGUAGUCCACGCCCUAAACGAUGCAUAUUUGGUGUGGGCAGUUCAUUCUGUCCGUGCCGGAGCUAACGCGUUAAUAUGC
This 773-nucleotide ribosomal RNA is filed under the name uncultured bacterium. Its description in RNAcentral is "bacterial SSU rRNA". It matches the Rfam family "Bacterial small subunit ribosomal RNA", at positions 62 to 869 of the family's 1533-position model. The record is from RNAcentral.